GUCAACUUGAGAGUUUGAUCCUGGCUCAGAACGAACGCUGGCGGCAGGCUUAACACAUGCAAGUCGAACGAACCGUAUCUUUCGGGAUACAAUGGUUAGUGGCGCACGGGUGAGUAACGCGUGGGAACAUACACUGGAGUACGGAAUAACCCAAGGAAACUUGGGCUAAUACCGCAUACGCCCUAAGGGGGAAAGAUUUAUCGCUCUAGAAUUGGCCCGCGUCUGAUUAGGUUGUUGGUGGGGUAAUGGCCUACCAAGCUUACGAUCAGUAGCUGGUUUGAGAGGAUGAUCAGCCACACUGGGACUGAGACACGGCCCAGACUCCUACGGGAGGCAGCAGUGGGGAAUAUUGGACAAUGGG
This 361-nucleotide ribosomal RNA is filed under the name Rhodospirillaceae bacterium. RNAcentral's name for it is "bacterial SSU rRNA". It matches the Rfam family "Bacterial small subunit ribosomal RNA", at positions 1 to 375 of the family's 1533-position model. RNAcentral also lists the same sequence under 1 other name. The record is from RNAcentral. Lineage: Bacteria; Pseudomonadati; Pseudomonadota; Alphaproteobacteria; Rhodospirillales; Rhodospirillaceae.